UACGUAGGGGGCAAGCGUUGUCCGGAAUCAUUGGGCGUAAAGAGCGUGUAGGCGGCCCGAUAAGUCCGCUGUGAAAGUCCAGGGCUCAACCCUGGAAUGCCGGUGGAUACUGUCGGGCUCGAAUCCGGAAGAGGUGAGUGGAAUUCCUGGUGUAGCGGUGAAAUGCGUAGAUAUCUGGAGGAACACCGGUGGCGAAGGCGGCAUCCUGGACCGGCAUUGACGCUGAGGCGCGAAAGCUAGGGGAGCAAACGGG
RNAcentral lists this ribosomal RNA (253 nucleotides) under uncultured bacterium. Its description in RNAcentral is "partial 16S ribosomal RNA". It matches the Rfam family "Bacterial small subunit ribosomal RNA", at positions 524 to 776 of the family's 1533-position model. The record is from RNAcentral.